Sturnus vulgaris (Common starling) is the source of this 146-nucleotide non-coding RNA. NCBI's taxonomy places the organism in Eukaryota, Metazoa, Chordata, Aves, Passeriformes, Sturnidae. The record is from RefSeq and is a predicted model, not a curated record.
CAAGAUGGAAUAGAAAUGAAGGCCAGUUUUGAUACAGAAGAAAAGAAUUGCUGAGCCAGUCUUACUGGAUAACUAAGAAGCCAAAGGGUAAAAUGAGUUGGAAGGGGUUUUUAGGACUCAGAGUAAAGGAUAAACCCACCUCAAAC